RNAcentral lists this ribosomal RNA (1288 nucleotides) under Pseudomonas brassicacearum. Its description in RNAcentral is "bacterial SSU rRNA". It matches the Rfam family "Bacterial small subunit ribosomal RNA", at positions 38 to 1313 of the family's 1533-position model. Lineage: Bacteria; Pseudomonadati; Pseudomonadota; Gammaproteobacteria; Pseudomonadales; Pseudomonadaceae. The record is from RNAcentral.
GGCAUGGCGCGGCUACCAUGCAGUCGAGCGGUAGAGAGGUGCUUGCACCUCUUGAUAGCGGCGGACGGGUGAGUAAUGCCUAGGAAUCUGCCUGGUAGUGGGGGAUAACGCUCGGAAACGGACGCUAAUACCGCAUACGUCCUACGGGAGAAAGCAGGGGAUCUUCGGGCCUUGCGCUAUCAGAUGAGCCUAGGUCGGAUUAGCUAGUUGGUGGGGUAAUGGCUCACCAAGGCGACGAUCCGUAACUGGUCUGAGAGGAUGAUCAGUCACACUGGAACUGAGACACGGUCCAGACUCCUACGGGAGGCAGCAGUGGGGAAUAUUGGACAAUGGGCGAAAGCCUGAUCCAGCCAUGCCGCGUGUGUGAAGAAGGUCUUCUGAUUGUAAAGCACUUUAAGUUGGGAGGAAGGGCAUUAACCUAAUACUCUAGUGUUUUGACGUUUCCUACCGAAUAAGCACCGGCUAACUCUGUGCCCGCCGCCCCGGUAAUACCGAAGGUGCAAGCGUUAAUUCGAAUUACUGGGCGUAAAGCGCGCGUAGGUGGUUCGUUUAGUUGGAUGUGAAAGCCCCGGACUCAACCUGGGAACUGCAUUCAAAACUGUCGAGCUAGAGUAUGGUAGAAGGUGGUGGAAUUUCCUGUGUAACGGUGAAAUUGGUAAAUAUUCGAAGGAACACCAGUGGCGAAAGCCACCACCUGGACUGAUACUGACACUGAAGUGCGAAAGCGUGGGGAGCAAACCAGAAUAAAUACCCUGGUAGUCCACGCCGUAAACGAUGUCCACUAACCGUUGGGAGCCUUGAACUCUUAGUGGCGCCGCUAACGCAUUAAAUUGACCGCCUGGGAGUACACGCCGCAAAGUUAAAACUCAAAUGAAUUUACGGGGGCCCGCACAAACGGUGGAGCAUGUGUGUUUAAUUCCAAGCAACGCGCAAAAACUUACCAGUGCUCUGACAUCCAAUGAACUUUCCAGAGAUAGAUUGGUGUGCUUCUCGGAACACUGACAUCAAGUGCUCCAUGGCUGUCCUCUACCUCGCGUCUCGAGAUGUUUUGGUUAAGAUCUCGUAACGAGCGCGACCCUUGUUCUCUUAUAUUUCCCGCACGUAUGGUCGGGGAUCUUAAGAGACUCUGCCCGUGACAAACCGAGAGAGUGGGGAUACCACCAAAUCAUAUGGGCCCUUUAGGCACGGGCUACACACGUGGUUACAAGGGUCGGUAAGAGGGGUGUCCUACCUCGGAGUGAUCUUAUUCCUCAAACCGAUACGUGAUUCGGAUACUAGAAUGCUGUCA